UAGGGAAUCUUCGGCAAUGGACGAAAGUCUGACCGAGCAACUCCGCGUGAGUGAAGAAGGUUUUCGGAUCGUAAAACUCUGUUGUUAGAGAAGAACAAGGACGUUAGUAACUGAACGUCCCCUGACGGUAUCUAACCAGAAAGCCACGGCUAACUACGUGCCAGCAGCCGCGGUAAUACGUAGGUGGCAAGCGUUGUCCGGAUUUAUUGGGCGUAAAGCGAGCGCAGGCGGUUUCUUAAGUCUGAUGUGAAAGCCCCCGGCUCAACCGGGGAGGGUCAUUGGAAGCUGGGAGACUGGAGUGCAGAAGAGGAGAGUGGAAUUCCAUGUGUAGCGGUGAAAUGCGUAGAUAUAUGGAGGAACACCAGUGGCGAAGGCGGCUCUCUGGUCUGUAACUGACGCUGAGGCUCGAAAGCGUGGGGAGCAAACAGG
This 429-nucleotide ribosomal RNA is filed under the name Chloroflexota bacterium. RNAcentral describes it as "Chloroflexi bacterium partial 16S ribosomal RNA". It matches the Rfam family "Bacterial small subunit ribosomal RNA", at positions 355 to 776 of the family's 1533-position model. Lineage: Bacteria; Bacillati; Chloroflexota. The record is from RNAcentral.